UGGUCCGUUGGUCAAGAGGUUAAGACACCGCCCUUUCACGGCGGUAUCACGGGUUCGAAUCCCGUACGGACCAU
RNAcentral lists this transfer RNA (74 nucleotides) under Tetragenococcus halophilus subsp. halophilus DSM 20339. RNAcentral's name for it is "tRNA-Glu". It matches the Rfam family "tRNA". Rfam says of the family: Transfer RNA (tRNA) molecules are approximately 80 nucleotides in length. Their secondary structure includes four short double-helical elements and three loops (D, anti-codon, and T loops). Further hydrogen bonds mediate the characteristic L-shaped molecular structure. tRNAs have two regions of fundamental functional importance: the anti-codon, which is responsible for specific mRNA codon recognition, and the 3' end, to which the tRNAs corresponding amino acid is attached (by aminoacyl-tRNA synthetases). tRNAs cope with the degeneracy of the genetic code in two manners: having more than one tRNA (with a specific anti-codon) for a particular amino acid; and 'wobble' base-pairing, i.e. permitting non-standard base-pairing at the 3rd anti-codon position. Lineage: Bacteria; Bacillati; Bacillota; Bacilli; Lactobacillales; Enterococcaceae. RNAcentral also lists the same sequence under 1 other name. The record is from RNAcentral.